This 40-nucleotide transfer RNA is filed under the name Tetragnatha maxillosa. RNAcentral describes it as "tRNA-Tyr". Lineage: Eukaryota; Metazoa; Arthropoda; Arachnida; Araneae; Tetragnathidae. The record is from RNAcentral.
UUAUUUUUGAAAUCAAUUAAUGAUGAUGGACUGUAAAUCC